RNAcentral lists this ribosomal RNA (311 nucleotides) under uncultured bacterium. RNAcentral's name for it is "bacterial SSU rRNA". It matches the Rfam family "Bacterial small subunit ribosomal RNA", at positions 30 to 334 of the family's 1533-position model. The record is from RNAcentral.
AUUGAACGCUGGCGGCACGCUUAACACAUGCAAGUCGAACGGCAGCAGCAGAGAGCUUGCUCUCUGGCUGGCGAGUGGCGGACGGGUGAGUAAUGUGUAGGUAUCUGUCCUAAAGGUGGGGGAUAACUUGGGGAAACUCAAGCUAAUACCGCAUAUGGUCUACGGACUAAAGCUGGGGAUCUUCGGACCUAGUGCUUUAGGGUGAGCCUACAUUCGAUUAGCUUGUUGGUGGGGUAAAAGCCUACCAAGGCAACGAUCGAUAGCUGGUCUGAGAGGAUGAUCAGCCACACUGGGACUGAGACACGGCCCAG